GGGAUAAUAGCUCAGUUGGGAGAGCAUAUCGUUCGCAACGAUAAGGUCGCGAGUUCGAGUCUCGUUUAUUCCACCA
This 76-nucleotide transfer RNA is filed under the name Candidatus Onthovivens merdipullorum. RNAcentral describes it as "tRNA-Ala". It matches the Rfam family "tRNA". Rfam says of the family: Transfer RNA (tRNA) molecules are approximately 80 nucleotides in length. Their secondary structure includes four short double-helical elements and three loops (D, anti-codon, and T loops). The record is from RNAcentral. Lineage: Bacteria; Bacillati; Bacillota; Bacilli; Caryophanales.